This 500-nucleotide ribosomal RNA is filed under the name uncultured bacterium. RNAcentral's name for it is "bacterial SSU rRNA". It matches the Rfam family "Bacterial small subunit ribosomal RNA", at positions 1039 to 1533 of the family's 1533-position model. The record is from RNAcentral.
UCUUGCAUGCCUGUCGUCAGCUCGUGUUGUGAAAUGUUGGGUUAAGUCCCGCAACGAGCGCACCCUUAUCUUUUGUUGCCACCGGUUAGCCCGGAACUCAAAGAAGACUGCCAGUGAUAAACUGGAGAAGGUGGGGAUGACGUCAAGUCAUCAUGGCCCUUACGAGUAGGGCUACACACGUGCUACAAUGGCGCAUACAAAGAGAAGCGACCUCGCGAGAGCAAGCGGACCUCAUAAAGUGCGUCGUAGUUCGGAUUGGAGUCUGCAACUCGACUCCAUGAAGUCGGAAUCGCUAGUAAUCGUGGAUCAGAAUGCCACGGUGAAUACGUUCCCGGGCCUUGUACACACCGCCCGUCACACCAUGGGAGUGGGUUGCAAAAGAAGUAGGUAGCUUAACCUUCGGGAGGGCGCUUACCACUUUGUGAUUCAUGACUGGGGUGAAGUCGUAACAAGGUAACCGUAGGGGAACCUGCGGCUGGAACACCUCCUUCUAGACUGCA